UACGUAGGGUGCGAGCGUUACUCGGAAUUACUGGGCGUAAAGCGUGCGCAGGCGGUUUUGUAAGUCAGAUGUGAAAUCCCCGGGCUUAACCUGGGAACUGCGUUUGAAACUACAAGGCUAGAGUGUGGCAGAGGGGGGUGGAAUUCCACGUGUAGCAGUGAAAUGCGUAGAGAUGUGGAGGAACACCGAUGGCGAAGGCAGCCUUCUGGGCCAACACUGACGCUCAUGCACGAAAGCGUGGGGAGCAAACAGG
This 253-nucleotide ribosomal RNA is filed under the name uncultured bacterium. Its description in RNAcentral is "partial 16S ribosomal RNA". It matches the Rfam family "Bacterial small subunit ribosomal RNA", at positions 524 to 776 of the family's 1533-position model. The record is from RNAcentral.